GAUGAACGCUGGCGGCGUGCCUAAUACAUGCAAGUCGAGCGAACAGACGAGGAGCUUGCUCCUCUGACGUUAGCGGCGGACGGGUGAGUAACACGUGGAUAACCUACCUAUAAGACCGGGAUAACUUCGGGAAACCGGAGCUAAUACCGGAUAAUAUAUUGAACCGCAUGGUUCAAUAGUGAAAGACGGUUUUGCUGUCACUUAUAGGUGGAUCCGCGCCGCAUUAGCUAGUUGGUAAGGUAACGGCUUACCAAGGCAACGAUGCGUAGCCGACCUGAGAGGGUGAUCGGCCACACUGGAACUGAGACACGGUCCAGACUCCUACGGGAGGCAGCAGUAGGGAAUCUUCCGCAAUGGGCGAAAGCCUGACGGAGCAACGCCGCGUGAGUGAUGAAGGUCUUCGGAUCGUAAAACUCUGUUAUUAGGGAAGAACAAAUGUGUAAGUAACUAUGCACGUCUUGACGGUACCUAAUCAGAAAGCCACGGCUAACUACGUG
RNAcentral lists this ribosomal RNA (497 nucleotides) under uncultured bacterium. RNAcentral's name for it is "partial 16S ribosomal RNA". It matches the Rfam family "Bacterial small subunit ribosomal RNA", at positions 28 to 507 of the family's 1533-position model. The record is from RNAcentral.